AGUGAACGCUGGCGGUAGGCCUAACACAUGCAAGUCGAACGGCAGCACAGUAAGAGCUUGCUCUUACGGGUGGCGAGUGGCGGACGGGUGAGGAAUACAUCGGAAUCUACUUUUUCGUGGGGAUAACGUAGGGAAACUUACGCUAAUACCGCAUACGACCUACGGGUGAAAGCAGGGGAUCUUCGGACCUUGCGCGAUUGAAUGAGCCGAUGUCGGAUUAGCUAGUUGGCGGGGUAAAGGCCCACCAAGGCGACGAUCCGUAGCUGGUCUGAGAGGAUGAUCAGCCACACUGGAACUGAGACACGGUCCAGACUCCUACGGGAGGCAGCAGUGGGGAAUAUUGGACAAUGGGCGCAAGCCUGAUCCAGCCAUACCGCGUGGGUGAAGAAGGCCUGCGGGUUGUAAAGCCCUUUUGUUGGGAAAGAAAAGCAGCAGGUUAAUACCCCGCUGUUCUGACGGUACCCAAAGAAUAAGCACCGGCGAACUUCGG
Molecule: ribosomal RNA, 490 nt
Filed under: uncultured bacterium
Lineage: Bacteria
Description: partial 16S ribosomal RNA
Rfam family: Bacterial small subunit ribosomal RNA
Source: RNAcentral